This 468-nucleotide ribosomal RNA is filed under the name uncultured bacterium. RNAcentral's name for it is "partial 16S ribosomal RNA". It matches the Rfam family "Bacterial small subunit ribosomal RNA", at positions 28 to 507 of the family's 1533-position model. The record is from RNAcentral.
GACGAACGCUGGCGGCGUGCUUAACACAUGCAAGUCGAACGGAAAGGCCCUGCUUUUGUGGGGUGCUCGAGCGGCGAACGGGUGAGUAACACGUGAGUAACCUGCCCUUAACUUUGGGAUAACUUCAGGAAACUGGGGCUAAUACCGGAUAGGAGCUCCUGCUGCAUGGUGGGGGUUGGAGAGUUUCGGCGGUUGGGGAUGGACUCGCGGCUUAUGAGCUUGUUGGUGGGGUAGUGGUUUACCAGGGGUUUGACGGGUAGCCGGCCUGAGAGGGGGACCGGGCACCUGGGUCCUGAGAUACGGCCCAGACUCCUACGGGAGGCAGCAGGGGGGAAUAUUGCACAACGGGCGGAAGCCUGAUGCAGCAACGCCGGGUGCGGGAUGCCGGCCUUCGGGUUGUAAACCGCUUUCGCCUGUGACGAAGCGUGAGUGACGGUAAUGGGUAAAGAAGCACCGGCUAACUACGUG